CCCUCCCAGCCAUCCAGCCUUUGAGGGAGCUUCUAGGAUCUGACCUGUUGGGAUGGAUCACUCGCUGGACCUCCAUGUAUCCUGUAAGGUCCCUUCAGCCCCUUUCCUCCAGGCAGUACUUUUGGACCCACAGCACCCAGCUGCUCAAGGAUCUUCCAAAUGCAAGGUAGAAGAUAGGGGUCUGAGAAGUCCGGUCACCGGCUCAUAACGGCUGCUGUUUGCUAGGGCACUGCCGCAGACCGGACGCUCUGAUUUCAGGUUGGUUACUUCCUCUUCUUUCUUUCUUUUUUAAAAGAAAUCCUCUUCUCUUUUACCUAUGCUUUUCUGCCUUCCUUCAUCGAAAACAAUUCAUAAAUCAUAUUGUCUAUGAAGCUGUCUCAUCGCUGAGAAAAGGAAGUAAUGACAGCCUCCUGUAUUUCCUGUCUUCUCACUUCCCUCCCCCUUCGCCGGCACCCAGCCACCCCCACCAAGGAAGGGAACCUAACGCUUGACUCCCUUUGUUCUUCUCCACCAAAAAAAUACCUGUAAAAAGGACUGCUUAUAAAUGAGCAAAAUGUACAGGUGUGCCUUACAGUAUGGAAUAAAAAUGUUCUUGCAAACUGUGCA
Molecule: long non-coding RNA, 606 nt
Filed under: Sus scrofa (pig)
Lineage: Eukaryota; Metazoa; Chordata; Mammalia; Artiodactyla; Suidae
Description: lncRNA (ENSSSCG00050069375.1)
Source: RNAcentral